GGCUAGGACAAUGAGGACCUUGUGAAUGGUGUCAGGUCUGGAAGGAAGCAGCACUAAGCAGGCGUCUUCAUGUGUCUGAUACAUA
RNAcentral lists this signal recognition particle RNA (85 nucleotides) under Enterococcus sp. RNAcentral's name for it is "signal recognition particle sRNA small type". It matches the Rfam family "Bacterial small signal recognition particle RNA". From Rfam's summary of the family: The signal recognition particle (SRP) is a universally conserved ribonucleoprotein involved in the co-translational targeting of proteins to membranes. Archaeal SRP consists of a 7S RNA and homologues of the eukaryotic SRP19 and SRP54 proteins. RNAcentral also lists the same sequence under 1 other name. The record is from RNAcentral. Lineage: Bacteria; Bacillati; Bacillota; Bacilli; Lactobacillales; Enterococcaceae.